Molecule: ribosomal RNA, 728 nt
Filed under: uncultured archaeon
Lineage: Archaea
Description: bacterial SSU rRNA
Rfam family: Archaeal small subunit ribosomal RNA
Source: RNAcentral
GCUCAGUAACACGUGGAUAACCUACCCUUAGGACCGGGAUAACCUUGGGAAACUGAGGAUAAUACUGGAUAGGCAAUUAUUCCCGCAAUGGUUUUUUGUUUAAAUGUUUUUUCGCCUAAGGAUGGGUCUGCGGCCGAUUAGGUAGUUGGUUAGGUAAUGGCUUACCAAGCCGUUGAUCGGUACGGGUUGUGAGAGCAAGAGCCCGGAGAUGGAACCUGAGACAAGGUUCCAGGCCCUACGGGGUGCAGCAGGCGCGAAACCUCCGCAAUGUGAGAAAUCGCGACGGGGGGAUCCCAAGUGCCAUUCUUAACGGGAUGGCUUUUCAUUAGUGUAAAGAGCUUUUGGAAUAAGGGCUGGGCAAGACCGGUGCCAGCCGCCGCGGUAACACCGGCAGCUCUAGUGGUAGCAGUUUUUAUUGGGCCUAAAGCGUCCGUAGCCGGUUUAAUAAGUCUCUGGUGAAAUCCUGUAGCUUAACUGUGGGAAUUGCUGGAGAUACUAUUAGACUUGAGACCGGGAGAGGUUAGAGGUACUCCCAGGGUAGAGGUGAAAUUCUGUAAUCCUGGGAGGACCGCCUGUUGCGAAGGCGUCUAACUGGAACGGUUCUGACGGUGAGGGACGAAAGUUAGGGGCGCGAACCGGAUUAGAUACCCGGGUAGUCCUAACCGUAAACGAUGCGGACUUGGUGUUGGGGUGGCUUUGAGCUGCUCCAGUGCCGAAGGGAAGCUGUU